GUGAGGAAUAUUGCGCAAUGGAGGCAACUCUGACGCAGCCAUGCCGCGUGCAGGAAGAAGGCGCUACGCGUUGUAAACUGCUUUUAACCGGGAAGAAACCCCAGGACGUGUCCUGGGUUGACGGUACCGGAGGAAUAAGCACCGGCUAACUUCGUGCCAGCAGCCGCGGUAAUACGAAGGGUGCAAGCGUUAUCCGUAUUCAUUGGGUUCAAAGGGUGCGUAGGCGGAGCGUUAAGUCAGUGGUGAAAUCCUGCAGCUUAACUGUAGACUUGCCAUUGAUACUGGCGCUCUUGAGUGCGCUUGAAGUGGGCGGAAUGUGCCGUGUAGCGGUGAAAUGCUUAGAUAUGGCACAGAACACCAAUUGCGAAGGCAGCUCACUAAGGCGAUACUGACGCUGAGGCACGAAAGCGUGGGGAUCGAACAGGAUUAGAUACCCUGGUAGUCC
Molecule: ribosomal RNA, 445 nt
Filed under: uncultured bacterium
Lineage: Bacteria
Description: bacterial SSU rRNA
Rfam family: Bacterial small subunit ribosomal RNA
Source: RNAcentral